GGUUGUUAUUUUUAGAGCCUUCUACCGCCGGCGAAGCGCGAAAUCAUGGUAAAAGCAUCGCGAGUUAGAUAGAUCGUCUAUGAGUCGGUUUAAAAAGUACUCUUAUUUUGGUAUAAAUAAGAAUUAUGUAAUAUUUUGAAAGAAUGCGUUGUAAAUGCUAAAGAUACUGAGUUGUAAUAGUUUUAAUUAGAAGUUAAUUUACUCUGAUAUUUUAUGAUACCCAUAUCUUAUAUGUGUUGUAUAUGUUAGUGUAUGUUUCUGUUUUGUGCAGAUAGAAAAUUCUUACCUAUUCGGCGGGUCUGUUACACACAACCAAUCGGAUCCGUUGGGCGGGUCUUGAGGCUUGGCUGACUGAAUAAAAAACGAGGAUUAAAUUUUUCUUUCUUCUAUUAAUUAGGAUUUUAUCUGCUAAAUCAUUGUUAUCUUACUAAGGAUAGCAACAAAGUGGGAUGGGGUGGGGUGGGGUGGGGUGGGGUGGGGACGGAGAGCCGUUCCCAAUUCCUAUCCCCACAAAUUUAUAUAAUCUCCGUCCCCGCCUCAUCCUCGCCAAAGAAAAAAAAAUUAUUUUUCAUUACUGUCCCUCCAUCCCUGUCGGACCCUACGGAUUUUGAAAAAAUAUAUUCAAUAUUUAAUAUUUUCUUAUUUUGCAUACCAAAGCAGAAUUUUUAAAAAAUAGACCAAAUUAGCCCUCUCUUUUCUCUUUCUCUUUUCUCUCUUACUCUUAGCAUAUUAAUUUCUCUCUUUCUUAGAAAAACACAAUUAUAUCUAUUUUUUUUUUGAAAUACGAAAAUUGCCAUCACACACAAAAAUAAAAAAAAUUAAAAUUAAAAGCGUGCAAUCUCUUUUUAAAUAAU
This 854-nucleotide long non-coding RNA is filed under the name Ananas comosus (pineapple). RNAcentral's name for it is "long non-coding RNA (ACOM_LNC018230)". The record is from RNAcentral. Lineage: Eukaryota; Viridiplantae; Streptophyta; Magnoliopsida; Poales; Bromeliaceae.